UACGUAGGGUGCGAGCGUUGUCCGGAAUUACUGGGCGUAAAGAGCUCGUAGGUGGUUUGUCGCGUUGUUCGUGAAAACUCACAGCUCAACUGUGGGCGUGCGGGCGAUACGGGCAGACUGGAGUACUGCAGGGGAGACUGGAAUUCCUGGUGUAGCGAUGGAAUGCGCAGAUAUCAGGAGGAACACCGGUGGCGAAGGCGGGUCUGUGGGCCGAUACUGACGCUGAGGAGCGAAAGCGUGGGGAGCGAACAGG
This 253-nucleotide ribosomal RNA is filed under the name uncultured bacterium. Its description in RNAcentral is "partial 16S ribosomal RNA". It matches the Rfam family "Bacterial small subunit ribosomal RNA", at positions 524 to 776 of the family's 1533-position model. The record is from RNAcentral.